UGCUACCAUUUCGCUCGUCGCUAAUAUGAGAAUCGCUUUUACUUCAAAGUUUGCCUCGACUUGGUACAACUCUCACAACCCACACCAAAAUAGUGCUUUACCCCUUCCGGAUUUUUUUUUUCAUGAUUUAGACUGCUACCAUUUCGCUUGUUGCUAAUAUGAGAAUUGCUUUUAUUUCAGAGUUCACCUCGAUUUGGUACAACUCUCACAGCCCACACCGAAAUAGUGCUUUACCCAUUCCUCGAGCAUAGACAAAACGGAUUCGGAAUUGUCUUUGCCUCCGACUCCAAGGCAAGAUUUGGUCAAAUUCUUAAACGAAAAAAGAAGGGAAAGCAACCAGGAAUGGAAAUAAAAGAGGAUAAAUAAAAGAAACGGAGGCUAGAAAUUGGGAAAAAUGGCUAUCUUAAGCAUCACCACUCUCCUCCCAUUACAACCCACUUAUCGUCUCCUCAGUUUCCCCGUCCAAACAAAGCUUAAUAAUUUCACACUCAACUUCGGCACUAACCUUCACUACAAUUAC
Molecule: long non-coding RNA, 520 nt
Filed under: Olea europaea (common olive)
Lineage: Eukaryota; Viridiplantae; Streptophyta; Magnoliopsida; Lamiales; Oleaceae
Description: long non-coding RNA (OEUR_LNC009984)
Source: RNAcentral